GCAGGAGGAGAUGUUGCGCUGCAGUUCGGAGAGAGAUGCAUUAAGGGGCAACGAGCGAGCCCUUGGCAUUCCCAGACAUCCCUGCAUCAGCAGAAAUCUGCCACAAGACGAGAUGACGGGCAGGAUGUGCUCCGGCGCAGGACGGACUUGAACCGAACCAAACUGCAGGAAGCGCCAACAUCUGCUUUAACCAUGGCUUCACUGAGGUUGCUUGACCCAAAAACUGACCUGACCACAUAGAAAAUGUACAGAGAAGAUGAGAGACACCAGAGCCAACGAUAAAGACAAAACUGAAGUCUUUAUCAGCUGGGCUUCCUGAACAUGUCAGCAGAGCCACAGACUGACCACCUCCACAUUGCACUGCAUCAAAACAGGCGGUCAUGCUUAUCAGCAGGCUGAUAUUUCUGUAUUUAAAAUAUUUUUAUUUUUGCUAUGUAAUGUAUUUGUGUUAUGUGAUAUUCUUAUUUGCUGAGAAAGCCACUUUGGGGGGUUUUGUAAAUUGUAAGUCAUAAUUAUCAGAAUUGUCACUUCUUGUAAUUAAUCAAUGUGAGUUUCACUUUCUGUAUUGAAUUACUGAAGUAAAUGAACCUUUUAUAAUGUAUUCAAAUGGAUCUGUAUGUCAGGUUCUUGUUCAGACUGUGAUGCACCAGUAGAAAUAAUAAAACUGGAGUCAUGAUGAUAUCUUACUCACAGUAAUUCCUUUAAAAAAAAUAAGAAAACAUGAGAUACAUUCGGAUCUGUGUUUAAAUUAGAAAAAUAUACGUCUUUUAUUACAUUUAAAAAGUUACAGUUAAUGCAUGCCAUGCAUGUUGGCACAAUACGGCUCCAGGAGUUUUUUGUUUAAGGCUGGUUGCAAAACAACAACAAAAACCUACAAAAAAAAAAAAAGAAAUAAAAAAA
This is a long non-coding RNA of Xiphophorus hellerii (green swordtail), 900 nucleotides long. RefSeq lists it as uncharacterized. The record is from RefSeq and is a predicted model, not a curated record. The transcript has 2 exons. Lineage: Eukaryota; Metazoa; Chordata; Actinopteri; Cyprinodontiformes; Poeciliidae.